UGAGUAACCUGCCCUUGACUCUGGGAUAAGCACUGGAAACGGUGUCUAAUACCGGAUAUUUCAGCUGGCCGCAUGGUCUGGUUGUGGAAAGAAUUUUGGUCAAGGAUGGACUCGCGGCCUAUCAGGUUGUUGGUGAGGUAAUGGCUCACCAAGCCUACGACGGGUAGCCGGCCUGAGGAGGGUGACCGGCCACACGUGGGACUGAGACACGGCCCAGACUCCGUACGGGAGCAG
This 234-nucleotide ribosomal RNA is filed under the name uncultured bacterium. RNAcentral describes it as "partial 16S ribosomal RNA". It matches the Rfam family "Bacterial small subunit ribosomal RNA", at positions 118 to 347 of the family's 1533-position model. The record is from RNAcentral.